Aethalodelphis obliquidens (Pacific white-sided dolphin) is the source of this 1484-nucleotide long non-coding RNA. RefSeq lists it as uncharacterized. The transcript has 3 exons. The record is from RefSeq and is a predicted model, not a curated record. NCBI's taxonomy places the organism in Eukaryota, Metazoa, Chordata, Mammalia, Artiodactyla, Delphinidae.
AUCAAGUUUGAGAAGGUGAGGAGACAGAAGCACAGGAAGGCUAAAUAACUUGCCCAAGAGUCUGCAGCAGGAAGUGGCAGAGUUACCUCCUCCAAGAUGCCUUCCAGGAUCACCCAAGGUAAAACUGAUCACUCAGUCUCUCCUUUUGCCAACCUACCUGUGCCUUGUAUACGUUCCUAGUAUCACAGCACACUUCAUGUGUAUCACAGUUUAAUUGGCAGGAUUUUAAAAAAUUUCUUGGCGAUACAAAAAAAGGUACCUCUUACAGUCAAGAGCACUGGUGAAAUGCAGCUUCAUUUUUUAAACUUUUCAGAAUGAAGCAGUGCUUCACAUCUGGAGGCGACCUUAUCUCCCCUCCCACCACACACAUUAGCAGUAUUUGGUUCUGUCAGUUGGGGGGGAGGAUAUGCUGCUGGCAUCUACUGGGUAGAGGCCAGGGAUGCUACUAAACAUCCUACAGUACAUAGGACAACCCCAGAGCAAUCAUCCAGACAAAAACGUCAGUAGUGUGGAGGUGGAGAAACCCUAGUUCAGAGUAACAAUAUUUAUUCAGGUGAAUGCUAUGCUUUAUUUUUUUUUAUUUUAAAUCAAUCUUUUACAGUAUAUAGUGCGACCUAAUAUAUAUCAAUGUUUCCCAAACUUUGGCUUGUAGAGCAAGAAUAGCAAGUCUUGAGAAAUGCUCUUUCUUCAUUACCCCUCCCCCAUUUCCUUCCACUAGACUCCCCAGGGAAUGAAUGAAGCAAUGUUCCAGAUCAAAAUUGAAAGGCCAGAAGGUCUCAGAGAGAUUUGUGACCUUAAGCCAAUUAGGUUAAUGGCAAGGCCAAGACUGGACUCCAGAACCCCAGAUUUCCACCAACCCACUCAGCCUGGGAGGCAGCUGCUCUGUUCCCUGGCUAAAUCGGCCAACACCGUUUGGUACCUUAAGCGGAAACGUGCCCUACAAAGACGGGCUGCGUGGCUUAGCAGGAGUUUAACAUGAGUGUUCCUGCUUCAACACCCGGGACCCAGCCCGCUCUCACGCUACUUUAUGAGAGUUUAGGUUGACUCUGUGAGGCCCCCGAGCUCUGUGCGGAAAUGGAUUUACGCAAAAACAACUGCGAUUCAUAAGUGCGAAGGAACUUCAAAUAAAUGUAGGUGAUUUCGUCAUACAAAAGGCAGAGGGAACUUAAUACGUAUAUUUAAGGCUCUGGAGAAACGGCUUUUAAUUUGAAAGGGGUGGGAGGAGCUGUCCUCCGUCUCUAGAAGCUUCACAUGUGGAAAGGGCCAGAGGAAGGUUUUGGCAAAGCCCUUCUGCAUCUCCGUUCUGCAGUCAGGUGUGCCCCAGGUGGGCCCUGAGUUCCCUGUCCCAAGUACCUAAUCCCCGGAAUGUCACCUCCGUCAUUCCCACUCCGAGGUGCUGAAUCUCUGGGGGAAGCUCGACUUUGGAUCCUGCGACUCAGCCUCGUCUGCAUCCCGGUCCGCUGCCCUGCCCCAGGGGGAGCCUA